CCCUCCCGAGGUGUCUCCACCUUGACGUGGUGGGAGGGCUUGAGGGCCCCUGGGACCCCAGGAGCUAUGCCGGUGGGUGCAACCGUGCCGGACGGGUCUUGGGCGAGGAGCCGGACUAAGAGAGAC
Molecule: non-coding RNA, 126 nt
Filed under: unclassified sequences
Source: RNAcentral